RNAcentral lists this ribosomal RNA (253 nucleotides) under uncultured bacterium. Its description in RNAcentral is "partial 16S ribosomal RNA". It matches the Rfam family "Bacterial small subunit ribosomal RNA", at positions 524 to 776 of the family's 1533-position model. The record is from RNAcentral.
UACGUAGGGUGCUAGCGUUGUCCGGAUUUAUUGGGCGUAAAGAGCUUGUAGGUGGCUCGUUGCGUCGGGAGUGAAAACCUGCGGCUUAACCGCAGGCCUGCUUCCGAUACGGGCGAGCUAGAGUUCGGCAGGGGAGACUGGAAUUCCUGGUGUAGCGGUGGAAUGCGCAGAUAUCAGGAGGAACACCGGUGGCGAAGGCGGGUCUCUGGGCCGAUAUUGACGCUGAGGAGCGAAAGCGUGGGGAGCGAACAGG